RNAcentral lists this ribosomal RNA (710 nucleotides) under Faecalibacterium prausnitzii. RNAcentral's name for it is "bacterial SSU rRNA". It matches the Rfam family "Bacterial small subunit ribosomal RNA", at positions 426 to 1160 of the family's 1533-position model. Lineage: Bacteria; Bacillati; Bacillota; Clostridia; Eubacteriales; Oscillospiraceae. The record is from RNAcentral.
UAAACUUCCCUGUGUUGAGGAAGAUAAUGACGGUACUCAACAAGGAAGUGACGGCUAACUACGUGCCAGCAGCCGCGGUAAAACGUAGGUCACAAGCGUUGUCCGGAAUUACUGGGUGUAAAGGGAGCGCAGGCGGGAGAACAAGUUGGAAGUGAAAUCCAUGGGCUCAACCCAUGAACUGCUUUCAAAACUGUUUUUCUUGAGUAGUGCAGAGGUAGGCGGAAUUCCCGGUGUAGCGGUGGAAUGCGUAGAUAUCGGGAGGAACACCAGUGGCGAAGGCGGCCUACUGGGCACCAACUGACGCUGAGGCUCGAAAGUGUGGGUAGCAAACAGGAUUAGAUACCCUGGUAGUCCACACCGUAAACGAUGAUUACUAGGUGUUGGAGGAUUGACCCCUUCAGUGCCGCAGUUAACACAAUAAGUAAUCCACCUGGGGAGUACGACCGCAAGGUUGAAACUCAAAGGAAUUGACGGGGGCCCGCACAAGCAGUGGAGUAUGUGGUUUAAUUCGACGCAACGCGAAGAACCUUACCAAGUCUUGACAUCCCUUGACGAACAUAGAAAUAUGUUUUYUCUUCGGARCAAGGAGACAGGUGGUGCAUGGUUGUCGUCAGCUCGUGUCGUGAGAUGUUGGGUUAAGUCCCGCAACGAGCGCAACCCUUAUGGUCAGUUACUACGCAAGAGGACUCUGGCCAGGACUGCCGUUGACA